Long non-coding RNA from Pygocentrus nattereri (red-bellied piranha), 552 nucleotides. NCBI's taxonomy places the organism in Eukaryota, Metazoa, Chordata, Actinopteri, Characiformes, Serrasalmidae. The record is from Ensembl.
GGUACAGCCGCGCGCGGAGAAGCCGCUCCCGCCGUCCCGGAGGUCUGAGCGAGCGCAGUAGCCCCAAAAGAUGUUGCUGGACUGACUUCUGUUCCUGCUGGACAAGGCACUGAGAGGAUGCCAGAGAGAGGGAGACUCGUUCGCUGUGCUGUUCAGUAACAGCCUCUACUCUUCUGGGAAGGCUUCACACUGUAGACGUUGGUCUGUUGUUGUGAGGUUUUGACUGCCUUCAACUGCAAGAGCUGAGAUCAGGUGCUGCUACAGCCCACCAGUGGGAGACGGGUGCAGUAUCUCCGAGUCCUGAUCACACCCUGGCGGAGCACAGAAGGGGCAUUUAAAUGCAGACUUCCAAAGGACGGUGCUGUAAAUUUCCUCUGCCGGGCGCUGAUAAGGUCAACUGUCAUUCUUGGGGCAACGCGAGGAGGAGUGUAUGAAAAUGGGACGCUUCAUAUGGGCUCUUUAAGCUGUCAUCAAGGUGCUUGUCAUGCACGCCAUUACAUGGGGUUGGGCUGGGCCUAUAACAAGCUCCCCAGGAUAUGAAAGAUAUGCGCA